RNAcentral lists this long non-coding RNA (500 nucleotides) under Medicago truncatula (barrel medic). RNAcentral describes it as "lncRNA gene31252". Lineage: Eukaryota; Viridiplantae; Streptophyta; Magnoliopsida; Fabales; Fabaceae. The record is from RNAcentral.
UGCACCUGUUCGUGUUGGAUUUUGCAUUGCAUAUUGCACAUGUUCCCAUUCUAUUACCAUAGUUGUUGUAACUACCCAAAAAUUCCAUAUAUAUUAUGAUAUAUAUAUAUAUAUAUAGCUUUUAAUGUUGAUUUGGAGACACUAGUUAACAAGACUCAUAUUUAUAAAAUAAAUUAUUUGAUAUAUCAGUCUUGUUAACCAGUGCCUCCGGGGCACUAGUUAAGCAGAUGAAAAUGGAAAGAAAAAACAAAGUCAACAUUAAAAGCAACACUUUUUCAAAUUUCAAAAAGUAAAAUACACAAUUUUCAAAAUAAACAUUUCCUUUUACAAUUCCUUAACUAGUGCCCCGGUUAACAUUUCCCUAUAAAUAUUUGUAAUUAAAUCUAAUUGUUUAUACUCUAUGAUUUAAUAGUGGUUACACAUUUUUGGUUUUUAAUGAUAAAACAUUGUUUUUAUAAAUCAUUUAAGAUUUUUGUAUAAUUUAAUUAUAAUCAUUUAAG